UACGUAGGUGGCGAGCGUUAUCCGGAAUUAUUGGGCGUAAAGGGUGCGCAGGCGGCAAGAAAAGCUUAAGGUGAAAGCGUGGGGCUCAACCCCAUAAAGCCUUAGGAACUAGCUUGCUAGAGUGCAGGAGAGGGCGAUGGAAUUCCAUGUGUAGCGGUAAAAUGCGUAGAUAUAUGGAGGAACACCAGUGGCGAAGGCGGUCGCCUGGCCUGUAACUGACGCUGAGGCACGAAAGCGUGGGGAGCAAAUAGG
RNAcentral lists this ribosomal RNA (252 nucleotides) under uncultured bacterium. RNAcentral describes it as "partial 16S ribosomal RNA". It matches the Rfam family "Bacterial small subunit ribosomal RNA", at positions 524 to 776 of the family's 1533-position model. The record is from RNAcentral.